RNAcentral lists this long non-coding RNA (219 nucleotides) under Lathyrus oleraceus (garden pea). RNAcentral's name for it is "Pisum sativum (pea) long non-coding RNA (PSAT_LNC018343)". The record is from RNAcentral. Lineage: Eukaryota; Viridiplantae; Streptophyta; Magnoliopsida; Fabales; Fabaceae.
AAAAACUAGAUUCUAACGUAAGGUUAGAUCCGGUAAAAGGUACACAAUAGUUUCCGGUGUAGAAACUAUUGUGCGAAAAAGAAUUAACUAAGUGCUGAAAAGGAAAAUAGAAAUUGCAAGGGAAACAAUAUAAAACUCGUAAAAGCAAUGCUGUAAAAAUGUGCUUGUACUGCUGGAAAAGAAAAAAUGCGAGAAAGCGAAAACGGCGAAGAAAUCUGG